RNAcentral lists this microRNA precursor (89 nucleotides) under Malus domestica (apple). Lineage: Eukaryota; Viridiplantae; Streptophyta; Magnoliopsida; Rosales; Rosaceae. The record is from RNAcentral.
AGCGAUGUUGGUGAGGUUCAAUCCGAAGACAGAUUUGCACAUYCCCGCCCGCGUAAAUUGAUCUCAGAUUGAGCCGCGCCAAUAUCACU